GACGACGGGUAGCCGGCCUGAGAGGGCGACCGGCCACACUGGGACUGAGACACGGCCCAGACUCCUACGGGAGGCAGCAGUGGGGAAUAUUGCACAAUGGGCGGAAGCCUGAUGCAGCGACGCCGCGUGAGGGAUGACGGCCUUCGGGUUGUAAACCUCUUUCAGCAGGGACGAAGCGCAAGUGACGGUACCUGCAGAAGAAGCGCCGGCCAACUACGUGCCAGCAGCCGCGGUAAGACGUAGGGCGCGAGCGUUGUCCGGAUUUAUUGGGCGUAAAGAGCUCGUAGGCGGCUUGUCGCGUCGACUGUGAAAUCUCAGGGCUCAACUCUGACAUUGCAGUCGAUACGGGCAGGCUAGAGUUCGGUAGGGGAGACUGGAAUUCCUGGUGUAGCGGUGAAAUGCGCAGAUAUCAGGAGGAACACCGAUGGCGAAGGCAGGUCUCUGGGCCGAUACUGACGCUGAGGAGCGAAAGCGUGGGGAGCGAACAGGAUUAGAUACCCUGGUAGUCCACGCUGUAAACGUUGGGCGCUAGGUGUGGGGACCCUCUCCGGGUUUCUGCGCCGCAGCUAACGCAUUAAGCGCCCCGCCUGGGG
This 593-nucleotide ribosomal RNA is filed under the name Actinoplanes sp. MS-E1. RNAcentral describes it as "bacterial SSU rRNA". It matches the Rfam family "Bacterial small subunit ribosomal RNA", at positions 275 to 878 of the family's 1533-position model. The record is from RNAcentral. Lineage: Bacteria; Bacillati; Actinomycetota; Actinomycetes; Micromonosporales; Micromonosporaceae.